RNAcentral lists this ribosomal RNA (252 nucleotides) under uncultured bacterium. RNAcentral describes it as "partial 16S ribosomal RNA". It matches the Rfam family "Bacterial small subunit ribosomal RNA", at positions 524 to 776 of the family's 1533-position model. The record is from RNAcentral.
GACGUAGGAGGCGAGCGUUGUCCGGAUUCAUUGGGCGUAAAGAGCGCGCAGGCGGCUUGGUAAGUCGGAUGUGAAAUCCCGAGGCUCAACCUCGGGUCUGCAUCCGAUACUGCCCGGCUAGAGGUAGGUAGGGGAGAUCGGAAUUCCUGGUGUAGCGGUGAAAUGCGCAGAUAUCAGGAGGAACCCCUAUUGCGAAGGCAGCUCGCUGGGACGUUCUGACGCUGAGACGCGAAAGCGUGGGGAGCAAACAGG